CUGUUCGUUAAGAUGUGUGAUUGUCCCCUGCGGAUACUGUCGGCAAACGGAAAUACGACCUUGGAGGUGGAGGCAGUGGAGCAUUUUGUCCAUACCAUGCUACCUUGUAGUAGCUGCAGUGCAUGUAACCUGCAUAUCAAUCAUAUGUAACAGCGUAGAUACGAGGAAAAGAAAUGGGACUGGUGAAUUUGUUAUCAAUUCAAAAGCUGCACUUGGAAUGAUACAUGCAGGAAUUAGUGCCACACCUUUUAACUAUUUUCUUAAUGGAUUGAAUAUACUUUCUGUGAAUUCAUCCACCAUAAAGAAAAAGGAGAAUGAAACCGGAUAGAAAAUAUUUGCAGUUGCAAAAGAAUCCUGUAAAUUAAUUCAGGAGAAGAAACAGUUUUAAACAUGGUUAAUAUAAUGAGUAAUUGGAAGGUUGAAGCCAGUUUUGUUGCAGAAUAGCAAAUGUUUGGUACUGGUUGGAACUAUGAAAGUAAUACAGGUCUUAUGGUGGAUCAUCAUCCUUUAAAGAACAGCAGGUUAUUAGCAGCAGUUUUACAGAAAAAUGAAGGAUAUAAAUGGCUGUCAAUGGUAAAUGCAGCAUCAAAACGUUCCCCCGGCAAAUUUACUCUGAAAGUUUGGGAAAGUAUGAAUUAGAAAUUGGAGAGGCAAAGAGAUAACCAGAAAACACAGAAUUUAAAAGAGAAGAAUUGAAAUAAAAAGAAUAGAAAGAAGGCCCCAUGUAGUUCAAAUGUUAAAGAAGGAACAACAUAUGAAAUAGAAACUGAAGUAAACGACAAUGCUUUAGUGCUUGUGACAUUCAUCAAAUUCCUUCUCAUAUUCUUUAUAAUAUAUAUAUAUAUAUAGAUCAAUGUGUAAAAUUUGAUUUUCAAACAAGACGUCUUUUAAGACAUAGUGCCAUCACUCAGGUAGCAGCUGUCAGUGGAUCAAACCUAUUCCAGAGAUGUAAUAUGCCAAGAUGUGACAUUUUAAAUGAAGGGAGCAAAACAACUGGUAUUUUCUUUUCUAAUGCCACUAAUAGUAAUAUGAUAUAUCUGAAUGGGAGCAACCUGUACUAUUCAAUAUGGAUCGAAGGAUUGACAAUUUUGACAGGGAACAAAAUGAACUCUAA
Long non-coding RNA from Mytilus californianus (California mussel), 1114 nucleotides. RefSeq lists it as uncharacterized. Lineage: Eukaryota; Metazoa; Mollusca; Bivalvia; Mytilida; Mytilidae. The record is from RefSeq and is a predicted model, not a curated record. The transcript is spliced from 5 exons.